UACGGAGGGCGCAAGCGUUGCUCGGAAUCACUGGGCGUAAAGCGUACGCAGGCGGACCAUCAGGUCGGGUGUGAAAGCCCGGGGCUCAACCCCGGAACUGCAUUCGAAACCGUUGGUCUUGAGUACGGGAGAGGGAAGCGGAAUUCCUGGUGUAGAGGUGAAAUUCGUAGAUAUCAGGAGGAACACCUGUGGCGAAAGCGGCUUCCUGGCCCGAUACUGACGCUCAUGUACGAAAGCGUGGGGAGCAAACAGG
RNAcentral lists this unclassified non-coding RNA (253 nucleotides) under Clostridiaceae bacterium. Its description in RNAcentral is "partial 16S ribosomal RNA". It matches the Rfam family "Bacterial small subunit ribosomal RNA", at positions 524 to 776 of the family's 1533-position model. The record is from RNAcentral. Lineage: Bacteria; Bacillati; Bacillota; Clostridia; Eubacteriales; Clostridiaceae. RNAcentral also lists the same sequence under 1 other name.